GAGGGCUGGGAGAGGACUGCGAGGGGGAUGAGAGAGGGAUAACAACAUGCACAUUUCUCCCUUAGUGGACUAAUAAAGCUGUUUUCUUCCUGUCUGUGUAUAGUGUGGGGUGUAUUGACUUCCUCGCUGUGGAUAGUGUGGGGUGUAUUGACUUCCUGUCUGUGUAUAGUGUGGGGUGUAUUGACUUCCUGUCUGUGUAUAGUGUGGGGUGUAUUGACUUCCUCUCUGUGUAUAGUGUGUGGUGUAUUGACUUCCUCUCUGUGUAUAGUGUGUGGUGUAUUGACUUCCUCUCUGUGGAUAUGUGUGUGGUGUAUUGACUUCCUGUCUGUGUAUAGUGUGGGGUGUAUUGACUUCCUCUCUGUGUAUAGUGUGGGGUGUAUUGACUUCCUGUCUGUGUAUAGUGUGGGGUGUAUUGACUUCCUCUCUGUGGAUAUGUGUGUGGUGUAUUGACUUCCUGUCUGUGUAUUGUGUGGGGUGUAUUGACUUCCUCUCUGUGUAUAGUGUGGGGUGUAUUGACUUCCUCUCUGUGUAUAGUGUGGGGUGUAUUGACUUCCUGUCUGUGUAUUGUGUGGGGUGUAUUGACUUCCUCUCUGUGUAUAGUGUGGGGUGUAUUGACUUCCUCUCUGUGUAUAGUGUGGGGUGUAUUGACUUCCUCUCUGUGGAUAUGUGUGUGGUGUAUUGACUUCCUCUCUGUGUAUAGUGUGGGGUGUAUUGACUUCCUCUCUGUGGAUAUGUGUGUGGUGUAUUGACUUCCUCUCUGUGGAUAUGUGUGUGGUGUAUUGACUUCCUCUCUGUGGAUAUGUGUGUGGUGUAUUGACUUCCUCGCUGUGGAUAGUGUGGGGUGUAUUGACUUCCUCUCUGUGUAUAGUGUGGGGGGUAUUGACUUCCUGUCUGUGUAUAGUGUGGGGUGUAUUGACUUCCUCUCUGUGGAUAGUGUGGGGGGUAUUGACUUCCUCUCUGUGUAUAGUGUGGGGUGUAUUGACUUCCUCUCUGUGUAUAGAGUGUGGUGUAUUGACUUCCUCUCUGUGGAUAGUGUGGGGUGUAUUGACUUCCUGUCUGUGUAUUGUGUGGGGUGUAUUGACUUCCUCUCUGUGGAUAGUGUGUGGUGUAUUGACUUCCUCUCUGUGGAUAGUGUGGGGUGUAUUGACUUCCUGUCUGUGUAUUGUGUGGGGUGUAUUGACAUCCUCGCUGUGUAUUGUGUGUUUCAACAACCAUGACUGACUGUUCUUCAUCUUAUUUUAAGUGAAUUUAAUCAGAAACAAAGGACAUAAUGAGAGGGGGGUCAUCAGUCCACUACUUUGUUAUUAGCUUUGUGAUGCUGUGAGGUGGUUGUUGUCUGAUGCUGUGAGGUGGUUGUUGUCUGAUGCUGUGAGGUGGUUGUUGUCUGAUGCUGUGAGGUGGUUGUUGUCUGAUGCUGUGAGGUGGUUGUUUGCGAUGCUUUGAGGUGGUUUUUGUUUGCGAUGCUGUGAGGUCGUGGUGUGAUGCUGUGAGGUCGUGGUCUGAUGCUGUGAGGUCGUGGUGUGAUGCUGUGAGGUCAUGGUGUGAUGCUGUGAGGUCGUGGUGUGGUGCUGUGAGGUCAUGGUGUGAUGCUGUGAGGUCGUGGUGUGAUGCUGGGAGGUCGUGGUGUGAUGCUGGGAGGUCGUGGUGUGAUGCUGUGAGG
RNA transcript from Oncorhynchus keta (chum salmon), 1660 nucleotides. It is a transcript of the gene named shematrin-like protein 2, with no coding region annotated. The transcript has 2 exons. The record is from RefSeq and is a predicted model, not a curated record. Lineage: Eukaryota; Metazoa; Chordata; Actinopteri; Salmoniformes; Salmonidae.